This 85-nucleotide transfer RNA is filed under the name Candidatus Thorarchaeota archaeon. Its description in RNAcentral is "tRNA-Lys". Lineage: Archaea; Promethearchaeati; Candidatus Thorarchaeota. The record is from RNAcentral.
GGGUCGGUGGUCUAGAUUGGCUUCAUUGAGUCAUUCGUGGCUCUUUUCCAGGGGAUCGGGAGUUCAAAUCUCCCCCGGCCCACCA